This 1724-nucleotide unclassified non-coding RNA is filed under the name uncultured fungus. RNAcentral describes it as "sequence contains 18S rRNA gene, ITS1, 5.8S rRNA gene, ITS2, 28S rRNA gene". The stretch from base 496 to 1724 matches the Rfam family "Eukaryotic large subunit ribosomal RNA", at positions 1 to 961 of the family's 3401-position model. The record is from RNAcentral. Lineage: Eukaryota; Fungi.
GGAUGGAUCAUUAACACUUUAUGAGUUCCCAUUUAAUAACAUUCAAUUGUUAUCUUAUCCCGUGAACCAACUCUAAUUCAAAUUUUUGGUGCACAAACUCAAUUAAUUUUGUCUCAAAACUUUUAGCAAUGGAUAUCUUGGUUCCCGCAACGAUGAAGAACGCAGCGAACUGCGAAUUACGUAAUGCGAAUUGCAGAAUUUCGUGAAUCAUCAAAUCUUUGAACGCAACCUGCACUCAGGGACUUGCUCCCUGAGUAUGCCUCUUUGAGAAUCGGUUUCUAAUCAUUCCUUUACUUAACUGUUUUAAAGUGAAUGAAAGUUUCUCUUUAUUGAGAAGAAUGUGAGUGCUUUACGAGGUUAACUCCUUGUAUCACUUAAAUACUGUGCUUGAUAUAGUUUUGAAGUAUUGUAUUCGAUGAGUGCCAAUAACACUUAUAAUCAAAACGAAUACUCUCCUUCCCAUCAAGCCGUCUUUUAUUAUAACCCUUUUUUUUCUGAUCUCAAAUGAGGUAGGAAGACCCGCCGAAUUUAAGCAUAUAAUUAAGCGGAGGAGAAGAACUAACAAGGAUUCCCUUAGUAACGGCGAGCGAACAGGGAAGAGCUCAACAUGAAAAUCGGCACCCUUGAUGGUGAUCCGAGUUGUAAUCUGUAGACGUGUGAUCAGCGAGUGGCCCAGGCCUAAGUCCCUUGGAACAGGGCGUCACAGAGGGUGAGAACCCCGUCUAUGGCUUGGCGACUGCCGCGUACGACACGCGUUCCUCGAGUCGGGUUGCUUGGGAUCGCAGCCUAAAAUGGGUGGUAAAUUUCAUCUAAAGCUAAAUAUUUGCGGGAGACCGAUAGUGAACAAGUACCGUGAGGGAAAGACGAAAAGAACUUUGAAAAGAGAGUGAAAAGUGCUUGAAAUUGCUAAAAGGGAAGCGAUGGAAACCAGUGAUACGUGGAGUGCAUCUCUGAGCAUACGGGUUACUAGGGGGUGGCGUGAUAUUUGCUCUUACGGGCUAUUGCGUCGCUUCAUGUAGUGGCUCGUUCCUGCUUGGAGUUCCAAAGCAUUUCAUGUCCCCUUACUUUAUGUCAGAGCCUGCUUCAGACUCGCGGCAAACCUGCAUGGAGGAAUGUACUAACGGUCCGCCGUAGUAAUACGGAUGGAGGUUGGACUUAUAGCCUCUGCAUGCGGAUGGCGGGCGAGGUGUGAGCAUGGUGAGAAUAUGGCCUCCAGGAUGGGGAAGAUCCUGGGCCGGGCUGCUGUACGGUAGCGGGCCUUUGGCGUGCCUUGCUGUUCUGAGGACAACAAAGUUGUGCUUGGAGCUGUUUUGGGGUGCGCACGAGGGUUCUACUGUGCGGUGGCUUAGAGUAAUAACGUCUGACAACAAAUGGUUUUCAACGACCCGUCUUGAAACACGGACCAAGGAGUCUAACAUGUGUGCGAGUAUUUGGGUGAGUCAAACCCGAUAAAACAAAGAAAUGCGUAAGUGAAAGCAAAAAAGGUGGGAACCCUAUCAUGGACGUUGAUGGGGUUGCACCAUCGACCGUUCCUAUGUCUCGUGCAUAGGAUAUGAGUAAGAGCAUGUAUGUUGGGACCCGAAAGAUGGUGAACUAUGCCUGGACAGGGCGACGCCAGGGGAAACUCUGGUGGAGGCUCGUAGCGAUACUGACGUGCAAAUCGUUCGUUCGAUCUGGGUAUAGGGGCGAAAGACUAAUCGAACCAUCUAGUAGCUGGUUCCCUC